UACACUCCUGCGGGAGGCAGCAGUGGGGAAUUUUGGACAAUGGGCGAAAGCCUGAUCCAGCCAUGCCGCGUGCAGGAUGAAGGCCUUCGGGUUGUAAACUGCUUUUGUACGGAACGAAACGGCCUUUUCUAAUAAAGAGGGCUAAUGACGGUACCGUAAGAAUAAGCACCGGCUAACUACGUGCCAGCAGCCGCGGUAAUACGUAGGGUGCAAGCGUUAAUCGGAAUUACUGGGCGUAAAGCGUGCGCAGGCGGUUAUGUAAGACAGUUGUGAAAUCCCCGGGCUCAACCUGGGAACUGCAUCUGUGACUGCAUAGCUAGAGUACGGUAGAGGGGGAUGGAAUUCCGCGUGUAGCAGUGAAAUGCGUAGAUAUGCGGAGGAACACCGAUGGCGAAGGCAAUCCCCUGGACCUGUACUGACGCUCAUGCACGAAAUCGUGGGGAGCAAACAGGAUUAGAAACCCCAGUAGUCCCAU
RNAcentral lists this ribosomal RNA (475 nucleotides) under uncultured organism. RNAcentral's name for it is "partial 16S ribosomal RNA". It matches the Rfam family "Bacterial small subunit ribosomal RNA", at positions 332 to 798 of the family's 1533-position model. The record is from RNAcentral.